Homo sapiens (human) is the source of this 5553-nucleotide long non-coding RNA. RefSeq lists it as uncharacterized. The transcript is spliced from 2 exons. NCBI's taxonomy places the organism in Eukaryota, Metazoa, Chordata, Mammalia, Primates, Hominidae. The record is from RefSeq and is a predicted model, not a curated record.
CGCGCCACUGCACUCCAGCCUGGGCGACAGAGCGAGACUCUGUCUCAAAAAAGGGCAGUGUUUUUAUUAAUGAUUUCAUGGUGUCAAUUAUACAGCUAUAUAGAUACACACAUGUGUUUGUGUAUAUAGUGAGUUGAAUUGUCUCCCCUCAAAUGAUAUAUCCAUCCGGAACCUGUGACUAUGGCCUUAUUUGCAAAACAAACAAACAAACAAACAAAGUCUUGCCAAUGUUAUAAAAUUAAGGGUUUUGAAAUGAGGUUAUCUUGGAUUAUCCAUGUGGUCCCUAAAUCCAAUAAGUGUCCUUAUAAGACAAAGACAGACAAAGAUUUGACACACACAGAUGCACAGAGAAGGCCAUGUGAAGACAGAGGCAGAGAUUGGAGUGUUGCUGUCACAAACUACGGGACACUUGAAGCCACCAGAAGCUGGAGACGAGGAAGGGGCCUCCGUAGGGCCUCCAGAGGGAACACAGCCCUGCCAACACCUUGAGUUCAGACUUGGAGCUUCCGUGGCUGUGACUCUGUGAGAGAACCAUUUCCAAAUGUUUUGAGCCACCGAGCUUAUGGCGCUUUGUUCCUGCAGCCCUAGGAAACUCUGUGAGUGAAGGUAAUUGUGUGUUUCUGUAUCUAUCAGACUAGUCAACGUCAAUGUGACUCAGUGUAAUUUAACUUCACCGCCUCACAUCCUUGCUGUCUGACCUAAAGAUUAAAAAUUCUCUCAGAACUUCUCUAGCUCUUGCUUCUAUGUGGUAACUGCAUUGAAUUUUUUAGUACAUCCCAAAAAUUGAAAGAUACAUGGUAAGCCAUGUAUCUUUCCUGCCUGCCAGUUUGUCAUUUUUCACAUAAUAAAGCAAGGUCACUCAAAGGUAUUUUUUUCUUGUCUCGCUACUUGACACAUUCAACCAUGUUUAUAAGCUCAAAGAAAAGAGAUGGCCAGUUUGCUAAAAUGAAAAUAUCAUUCAAUCCUGAAGAUUUCAUUCUUCCAUAAAAAUUGUCCUAUGUAAAGAUGACUAAGUAUGAUUUCAGGCAUCACCUUUCAUACAAGUCUUCUUCCCUAAGACCUAUCCACUGCUCUUCUCCACUGUGGUUUUAAUAUUUUAAUGUUUCCAUAGCACUAGAUUAUGAGAUCCAUGAAAUCAAGUAUUGUGCCUCCCUGAGUCUCCAGGGUGCAGCCCUGGCCUUGGGACAUAACCACUGCUUAGUAAGUGCUUAUAAGAUAAAUCCUCAAAACCUUGAAAUGAAUUAAGUGCUUGUCCAUUAAAACAUCCCCCUACGUUGGGGGACUAAAUUCAGACUACUAUAUAGUUAGGAAGAGCACAAAUGCAAAUACAUGGGGUCAUAGGUAAUUUGUUUCUUCAAAGACCAUGUAGACUUCUCUUUGGCAAUUGCAAGGGAAAUUCUAUCAAUCAUAGUCCACACAUGGAUAUAAGCCAUAAGUAACUCUUUUCCAUGCUUGCUUAGCACAAAGCCUUAUAUACUCUAGAUUUGGGGUUAUGUUUUUUUUUUACAGUAAUAUAUGUAAAGCAAUGUCACAAACCUGAGCACCUCACGCAUGCAAUUUAAACACUGGAAACCAACUAUGUGGAGAGUAUAGCAAUGGUUUGACUCUGAGGUAAGAAGCACGGUGAAAGAACUGGAAAUAAACCCUGCAUCUGAGCUUUAUGAAGAAGCGAUUAUAAUCAAUACCAAAAUGAAAAAAAGAAACAUCAACAGCUACUGUGAACCAAGGUCUUCACAGUUUUGCUUCUUUCCACUAAUCUUCCGAAGAGGUUAUUUUGAGACGAUAUGUUCAAAACACUAUAAGCCAUUCUUCUCCAAGAAGUGGUGACAAUUACUUUGCUUCUUGCUUCCCACUCCUAAAAGGGAAAUUUAAUCAAGAUUGUCAGUUCUUACAAGAAAAAGGGAAAACGCACACACACAUUCAAGCUCUACUUCUAUAAUCAAAUAAAACCAUCAAGAAUUAAUCAAAACUUGACUCGAAGCCCUUCCAGAACUGCAAAGCUCACAUGGCAUCCCAGAGAUAGAUGAUACCAUGAUCUUUGAUGUACACAGUGGAGCAUUUGAUAAAAUGGUGAUGUUUUUCUGCCAUAAGUGGUAUAAUUACGCUAUGCAUCAUAUGCAUCCAUUUAAUAAUAUCCCUGUUCACAGUCAGCCAGGCAUUUCUCACAAGCUGGCAUCUUCACAGGCCACUUGUUCUGCUGAUUCCACUUUCUUCUGUAGCUGGGCAGGCUGCAGCCCCUGUUUUUUCCCUUACCAGGCAAACUAAUGAUCUAGUGCUUUCUUGCGUGUUGAGGUUAAUAGAUAACUAAUAUAUUUCAGCACAUUCAUUAUAGCCAGUUUUCCCCUAAGAAAAAAUUGCACAUUUGGGUCUUCUGCCUUGACAAAUGUGGUGCUUCAUCUUGAAAGUUGAUUAAAAUCAAUACCUCUGUAGAAAAUUACACGCAAAAUGUAUUAGUAUCCAGUAUAUUCUGAUAAGAAUGCUUCUCAUUCAUAACUCUGAUACCAACCCGCCCACCGCAAACAAAACAAAACAAAACAAAACAAAACAAAAAAUAAAAGAAACACACACACACAUGCUAAAACUGGAUGCAAGCACUCAUGGGAAUAACAGUGUGUUUUUAACCAACAAUAAAACUAAAAAUUACUCAUCAGUUAAACCAUGGCUCAUAAUUUAGGAGAAGUUACAUUUUGAAGUCCUGUUUUAUCUCCAAUUGAAAUUUCAGAAGCCUCCAGAAAUUCUAUGGUAUAAACUUUGCAAUUUUAAAAAUACAUCAUUUCAAAGCCAGCGGUCUGGAAGAAAAUUGCCUAUGCUAAUGAACAAAUAUAUAAUUUUCACUAAACCAUACAGCACACUUUCUUACAUCAACUUUUUUCAUCUCAUCUCCUGAUUCUCUCCCACAACCCAUGUGUUAACCACACUUACCUUUUAACUUUUCUCCUAAAAUAUUAAGCCUUUUCCAAACAGUUUUGCUAGACAAAAAUCCCUAUUCAUCUUUCAAGGUCUAGCUCAAGUGUUGCAUAACUGUUGUUCAAGUUACUGAGGCUGUGUAACAAACAACCUCAAGACUCAGGUGCCUAGAACAAGCCCAGAUUCUAUCAGUCAGAGACUUGGACAGGACACAGCAGAAAUGCUUGUAUCCGCUCUGUCAUGUGUGGCAUUUCAGAUGCAAAGAUCCAAAGGCUGGAGGUGACCCAAAGGCUGUUGGUUGGAAUCAACUGGAAACAUCAUUACUCACAUGUCUGGUGGUUGAUACUGGUUGUAGGCUGGGACCUCAGCUGGGGUUCUGAUUUGAGAACCUUCAUGUGGCCUCUCCAUGUGGUCGGGCUUCCUCACAGUACGGGGGUCUUCGGGUAUUCAGAUUUUAUACAUGGUGGCUCGGGGCUCCUCAGUAAGUGAAGCAGAUGCCACAUGAUCUUGUAAGAAAGGAAAACUUUUCCUCCAUCCUCUUAGGUUCUGCAGCUUAAUUUGUGAAUUAAACUGACAAAAGAAGGACCAACGAAUGAAGAGCAUACAAAUUUUAUUUGUUGUUAAUAUUUUUAUAUGCAUGGGAACUGCAGAGAAAGAACUAAAAAAAUCCAAAGAAGUGGUUACACUUAGGAGCUUACCUACCAUUUUAACAAAGUACGAUAAAUUGUGGGGAAGCAACCAAAGAAAAGGGGCUUGGGCUUCUAGGGGCAUUAAAUUGUAGGAAGGUAAAUACAUGGGAGAAACUAUUAUAGAAAAGGGUUAUUUAGUUAGGUUUCUUUAUGUAGAGUAAUCUUGAUGCUGUCUCCUCUUCUUGGUAUGAGAACAAGGGGACACCUUUAUAAUGGAAAUUUAUUCCUUGCUUUUAAGCAGAUAGAGGAAGGGUAAACAGCUCUUCUCGCAUCUUCUUUUUCUCAAUUGCCUUCAGCUUAAAAUAAAAAUUAAAAAUUUAAAAAAUAAAAUUUAUGCAAAAGUAACAUAUAUUAGGGUUGUAUAUUCUGAUACUCUUCAACAUUUUCUGGUCUAGCCUCCAGAGUCAUUCAACAUCAACAUCACUUUCUCUACAUUCUGUUGGUUAUAAAUAAGUCAAAGGACAAAUAAGACAAAAAAGUAUUUGUAUUGUUAAUACUGAGAGGUGACAACGUGCUAGCAGCCCUCACUGGCUCUCAGCAACUGCUCUGGCGGUGCUCCAGGAGCCCUUCAGCCCACCGCUGUGCUGUGGGGGCCCUUCUCUGGGGCUGGCGGAGGCCCGGCGGCUCCCUCUGCUCCCCACCAGGUGUGGAGGGAGAGGUGCAGGUGGGAGCGGGGCUGUGCAUGCUCACGGGCCAGUGCUGGUUCCGGGUGGGUGCAGGCUCAGGAGCCCACACUCGGUGUGGCCGGCCGGUGCCUACUGGGCUGCCCCCUCUGGGCUGCCGGAAUACCCAGGCUAGGUGCCGCAAAGCCUCAGGGCAAGUGUCAUUGAGAGGUGAAGCCAGCUGGGCUUCUGUGUCGGGUGGGGACUUGGAGAACUUUUCUGUUUAGCUAGAGGUUUGUAACCGCAUCAAUCAGCGCUCCGUGUCUAGCUAAUCUGGUGGGGACUUGGAGAACUUUCCUGUCUAGCUAAAGGAUUGUAAAUGCACCAAUCAGCGCUCUGUGUCUAGCGAAAGGUUUGUAAAUGCACCAAUCAGCGCUCUGUCAAAAUGGACCAAUCAGCUAUCUGUAAAACGGCCCAAUCAGCUUUCUGUAAAAUGGACCAAUCAGCUCUCUCUAAAAUGAGCCAAUGAGAGGAUGUGGGUGGGGCCAGAUAAGGGAAUAAAAGCAGGCUGCCCGAGCUAGCAGUGGCAACCGGCUAGGGUCCUCUUCCAGAUUGUGGAAGCUUUGUUCUUUUGCCUUUGGCAAUAAAUCCUGCUGCUGCUCACUCUUUGGGUCUGCACCGUCUUUGGCAGCUGCUGCUCACUCUUUGGGUCUGCGCUAUCUUUAUGAGCUGUAACACCGUGAAGGUCUGCAGCUUCAUUCCUGAAGCCAGUUAGACCACAAACCCACCAGAAGGAAGAAACUCUGGACCCAUCUGAACAUCUGAAUGAACAAACUCUGGACACACCAUCUUUAGGAACUGUAACACUCACCGCAAGCGUCCGUGGCUUCAUUCUUGAAGUCAGUUAGACCAAGAACCCACCAAUUCCGGACACAAUACUAUUGGAUGUAUGUUUGUUUGGUGUUUUCUUUGAAGGCAGAAUCAGAGAGGCUCAGCAAAUGCCAGAACUCAAAUUCAAGCGCAACUCUGCCUGAUGGAAACUCAGGUGAUUUCCACUCUGCCUCCACCUGCAUUCCUCAGCACCCUGCAGUUGGUCCCCAGACUCUAUGCUCCAUGCUGCUUGUGUUUGUUGGUUGGCUGGUUUCGUGUUCAUGUGUUCUGGCUUCUUCAUUUUGGGUCUUUACAUCUUUACAUCUCUAUAGCAGUUCUUCCCAUGUUGUGUAGCAGUUGUCUCUACGUGACAGUCUGUCUUGUGAGGUCGAGCUCCCUGAAGGCAGCAAGCAUGUAAUUGGUAAAUUCUCAUCAGUUAGCCAUGUCUGGAACAUGGUAGGUAUUCAAUAAAGGUUUUUGCUCAU